UACGGAGGGGGCUAGCGUUAUUCGGAAUUAUUGGGCGUAAAGGGCGCGUAGGCGGCCUGGUAAGUCAAAGGUGAAAUCCCUCGGCUCAACUGAGGAACUGCCUUUGAAACUGUCGGGCUUGAGGCCGGGAGGGGGUAGCGGAAUUCCCAGUGUAGCGGUGAAAUGCGUAGAUACUGGGAGGAACACCAGUGGCGAAGGCGGCUACCUGGACCGGUUCUGACGCUGAUGCGCGAAAGCGUGGGUAGCAAACAGG
This 253-nucleotide ribosomal RNA is filed under the name uncultured bacterium. RNAcentral describes it as "partial 16S ribosomal RNA". It matches the Rfam family "Bacterial small subunit ribosomal RNA", at positions 524 to 776 of the family's 1533-position model. The record is from RNAcentral.